This 615-nucleotide ribosomal RNA is filed under the name uncultured Tomentella. RNAcentral describes it as "eukaryotic LSU rRNA". The stretch from base 247 to 401 matches the Rfam family "5.8S ribosomal RNA". The record is from RNAcentral. Lineage: Eukaryota; Fungi; Basidiomycota; Agaricomycetes; Thelephorales; Thelephoraceae.
AAGUCGUAACAAGGUUUCCGUAGGUGAACCUGCGGAAGGAUCAUUACUGAAUUGUCGACACGAGUUGUUGCUGGUCCUCAAAUGGGGGCAUGUGCACGCUCUGUUUACACAUCCACUCACACCUGUGCACCCUCUGUAGUUCUGUGGCCUGGGGGGCUCUGCCACCCUUGCUGUGGUCUACAUCUUUACACACACACUGUAAUAAAGUCUCAUGGAAUGUACGUCGCGUUUAACGCAAUACAAUACAACUUUCAGCAACGGAUCUCUUGGCUCUCGCAUCGAUGAAGAACGCAGCGAAAUGCGAUAAGUAAUGUGAAUUGCAGAAUUCAGUGAAUCAUCGAAUCUUUGAACGCACCUUGCGCCCUUUGGCUAUUCUGAAGGGCAUGCCUGUUUGAGUAUCAUGAACACCUCAACUCUUGUGGCUUGCCACGAUGAGCUUGGACUUUGGGGGUCUUGCUGGCCUACGGUCAGCUCCUCUUAAAUGAAUCAGCUUGCCAGUGUUUGGUGGCAUCACAGGUGUGAUAACUAUCUACGCUUGUGGUUUUCCACCAGGUAACCUUCAGUGAUGGAGGUUCGCUGGAGCUUAUAGAAGUCUCUCCUCAGUGAGGACAGCUU